UGUAAGCGUAUACCAAAGUUGUUGCAGUUAAAACGCUCGUAGUCGGAAUUUGGCAGUUCCGGAUGUGUGCACGUCGUGUGCGCACUUCGCGGGGAUUGCUUUUGUGGUCUUGCGUAGGAUGAGGCACUUUUAUUAGUGAACGUCCUCACGCAACCACUUUUUACUGUGAGAAAAUCAGAGUGCUCAAAGCAGGCAUUUGCCGUGAAUGUAUUAGCAUGGAAUAAUAGAAUAGGACUUGGUUCUAUUUUGUUGGUUUGUUGGGACUGAGUAAUGAUUAAGAGGGACAGUUGGGGGCAUUUGUAUUUCGGUGCUAGAGGUGAAAUUCUUAGAUUGCCGAAAGACAAACUGCUGCGAAAGCGUCUGCCAAGGAUGUUUUCAUUAA
Molecule: ribosomal RNA, 382 nt
Filed under: uncultured eukaryote
Lineage: Eukaryota
Description: partial 18S ribosomal RNA
Rfam family: Eukaryotic small subunit ribosomal RNA
Source: RNAcentral